GCCUGGCUAGCUCAGUUGGUAGAGCAUGAGACUCUUAAUCUUAGGGUUAUGGGUUCAAGCCCUAUGUUGGGCG
This is a non-coding RNA of Terrapene triunguis (Three-toed box turtle), 73 nucleotides long. NCBI's taxonomy places the organism in Eukaryota, Metazoa, Chordata, Testudines, Emydidae. The record is from the annotation of a RefSeq genome assembly.